UUUUGUUUUGUUUGUACAUGUGCAGAUUCCUGAACAUUUGAAAGGUCUUAUUUAUUUUGGCAGAGUGAGUUUUUAGCCCUUUAUAGAUCAACUUUUAGAAAAACAAAAUGUUAAAUUUGUCAUGUGCAUGUUCCCCUCUAUGUCCUCUACUGAAUGUUGGAACAGACUAGUUUAAGAAUGCAAAAAUUGUUAAGUUGUUUUGAGCUAGCGUCUGUGGUUAAAGUCACAAGUAGUAAUUUCCCUUUGUACCGUGGUGUUGCUUUAGAUUUCAGUGGUGGUUUUCAGGAAUCCUAAGUAGGUCAAGAGCAUAUUCAGUUCAUAGCAACAUCAUGCAGCACCAGAAGAAGUGUGCUGAGAGAGAGACCUGAACACCAAGCAAAGAUGCGUCAAGUUGGAGCUAUCCUUUGUUUCCAAGGGCAAGUAGAACCUCCUUCUAGCUUCUGAAACUACAAACUACCUUAGAUAGGAUCUGUGAAGCGCCUUCCUGAAAAGCUCUGAUUGUCUAGAGGUGGGGAGGGCAUGUUCCCCCUAAGGUCCUAGCACCAGCCCACCUCCCACUGUUAUUGGGUCCAGUAUUGACUGCAUGUUCUGCAGUGGACAGAAGGACUCUCUCUCCAGAACAAAGACAAGCAACUCAUGGUAGGCUGACUCCCACCGGAGGGGAGGGAUGUCACUCCAAAAGAAAGACUUGGACCGUGACCACUUGCUUGGCUUUUGGCCAGUCAGCUGGCAGAGGGAUGAUGGCUGGAAAAAGCUAUUGGGGCUGUGUGGAGUUUCACUUUGUGCUACAAGAGAAAAAGCAAUGGGCAGAGAACAGUAUGGACGGGAGCCACAGCACACAACUGGGAAGCUGAGACGAACCCAGCAACAAGGACUCGUCACUCUGAGCUCACAGCAGAGACUAUGGCAAAGGAGCUGGAAAGUACCUUUGUCCAGGACUGAGACACUGGAGGUUGGAUUCCCAGGUCAUGGAGCAUUCAGCUGUAUAUUUAGACAGUAGGUACGGUGUACUAUGGUAUGUAUAACUGCCAUUAGGGCUCUCCUCCUGGAAUCAGCCCUCAUACUGACUGAGGUCUUGCCCUUGCUUUGUUGUUGAUGGCAGUAUCCAUUCGAGGGGUUAACU
Long non-coding RNA from Trachemys scripta elegans, 1123 nucleotides. RefSeq lists it as uncharacterized. The record is from RefSeq and is a predicted model, not a curated record. The transcript has 3 exons. NCBI's taxonomy places the organism in Eukaryota, Metazoa, Chordata, Testudines, Emydidae.